CAUUGACCUCGGAUCAGGUAGGGAUACCCGCUGAACUUAAGCAUAUCAAUAAGCGGAGGAAAAGAAACCAACAGGGAUUGCCUCAGUAACGGCGAGUGAAGCGGCAACAGCUCAAAUUUGAAAUCUGGCCCUUUCGGGGUCCGAGUUGUAAUUUGUAGAGAGUGUUUCGGGCGAGACCACGGUCUAAGUCCAUUGGAACAUGGCGUCAUAGAGGGUGAGAAUCCCGUCUGCGACCGUGGCUCGAGCCCAUGUGAAGCCUCUUCGACGAGUCGAGUUGUUUGGGAAUGCAGCUCAAAAUGGGUGGUAAAUUUCAUCUAAAGCUAAAUACUGGCUGGAGACCGAUAGCGCACAAGUAGAGUGAUCGAAAGAUGAAAAGCACUUUGGAAAGAGAGUUAAACAGUACGUGAAAUUGUUGAAAGGGAAGCGCUUGCAACCAGACCUGUCCGUAGGUGAUCAGCCGCUGUUCUCAGCGGUGCACUCGCUCUGCGAUCAGGCUAGCAUCGGUUUCGGCGACCGGAUAAAGGCCUUGGGAAUGUAGCUUCCUUUCGGGGGAGUCUUAUAGCCUUCGGUGCAAUGCGGCCAGCCGGGACCGAGGACCGCGCUUCGGCUAGGAUGCUGGCGUAAUGGUUGUAAGCGACCCGUCUUGAAACACGGACCAAGGAGUCUAACAUCUAUGC
Molecule: ribosomal RNA, 677 nt
Filed under: Montanelia disjuncta
Lineage: Eukaryota; Fungi; Ascomycota; Lecanoromycetes; Lecanorales; Parmeliaceae
Description: LSU rRNA
Rfam family: Eukaryotic large subunit ribosomal RNA
Source: RNAcentral